GUGAACAAAAAUUUGUUGUUAUUAUAUUGCAAUAUUGCUGUCCAUUGUCAUGAUUGUAUUAUACAUUGAAUCCUGACAUAAAAAAUAUGGCUGAUUUACUAUGCGGGUAUAUAGAUUUACAAAUUAAAGUGCACAUAUGGUCAGUUUUGGUGGAUGCGGUCAAAUAAUUUUGUUGUACAAGUCAGCUGGAGGUAUCAAAACUACUGAAAUUUUGUUACGUAUCAAUAUUUUGAAUAAAAUGAGGACAUGCUGGUAUCCUAAAUUUAUGCGAACAAAAAUUUGUUGUUAUUAUAUUGCAAUAUUGCUGUCCAUUGUCAUGAUUGUAUUAUACAUUGAAUCCUGACAUAAAAAAUAUGGCUGAUUUACUAUGCGGGUAUAUAGAUUUACAAAUUAAAGUGCACAUAUGGUCAGUUUUGGUGGAUGCGGUCAAAUAAUUUU
RNAcentral lists this long non-coding RNA (438 nucleotides) under Mytilus galloprovincialis (Mediterranean mussel). The record is from RNAcentral. Lineage: Eukaryota; Metazoa; Mollusca; Bivalvia; Mytilida; Mytilidae.